UUAGACCGAUAGCGAACAAGUAGAGUGAUCGAAAGAUGAAAAGCACUUUGAAAAGAGGGUUAAAUAGCACGUGAAAUUGUUGAAAGGGAAGCGCUUGUGACCAGACGUGCGCCGGGGUGUUCAGCGGGCGUUCUCGCCCGUGCACUCGCCUCGGCGCAGGCCAGCGUCGGUUCGAGUGGGAGGAUAAAGGCGUCUGGAAUGUGGCUCCUUCGGGAGUGUUAUAGCCAGACGUGCCAUGCUCCCGCCCGGACCGAGGUACGCGUUCUGCAAGGACGCUGGCGUAAUGGUCUCCAGCGACCCGUCUUGAAACACGGACCAAG
RNAcentral lists this ribosomal RNA (320 nucleotides) under Gonytrichum sp. CL070. RNAcentral's name for it is "LSU rRNA". It matches the Rfam family "Eukaryotic large subunit ribosomal RNA", at positions 329 to 670 of the family's 3401-position model. The record is from RNAcentral. Lineage: Eukaryota; Fungi; Ascomycota.